Molecule: ribosomal RNA, 322 nt
Filed under: Oecidiobranchus nanseni
Lineage: Eukaryota; Metazoa; Arthropoda; Malacostraca; Isopoda; Desmosomatidae
Description: partial 16S ribosomal RNA
Source: RNAcentral
GUCUUUUAAUUGAAGGCUGGAAUGAAAGGGGGGACGAUAGUUAAGCUUUUUAAAAACAGGGUGGAAAUUAAUAUCUAUAUGAAAAAGUAUAGCUUUUUAGGGGGACGAUAAGACCCUAUAAAACUUUAUUUUACGCGCGUAGUUUUUGAUUUUGAAGUUUGAGGGUUUGAGUAAAAUUAAGCUGGGGCAGCAUCUAGGAUAUUUUAGAAAACUUAACACUUCUGGGUGGUAUGAAAGAUCUUGUAUAGAGAUAGAGAAGUUACUUUAGGGAUAACAGCACAAUUUUUUUGUAAAGACCACAUAGAGGAAAAAGACUUGUGAC